AGCCGUAGGGAAACCGAGUCUUAACUGGGCGAAUGAGUUGCAGGGUAUAGACCCGAAACCCGGUGAUCUAUCCAUGGGCAGGUUGAAGGUUGGGUAACACUAACUGGAGGACCGAACCGACUAAUGUUGAAAAAUUAGCGGAUGACUUGUGGAUGGGGGUGAAAGGCCAAUCAAACCGGGAGAUAGCUGGUUCUCCCCGAAAGCUAUUUAGGUAGCGCCUCGUGAACUCAUCUUCGGGGGUAGAGCACUGUUUCGACUAGGGGGUCAUCCCGACUUACCAACUCGAUGCAAACUGCGAAUACCGAAGAAUGUUAUCACGGGAGACACACGGCGGGUGCUAACGUCCGUCGUGAAGAGGGAAACAACCCAGACCGCCAGCUAAGGUCCCAAAGUCAUGGUUAAGUGGGAAACGAAGUGGGAAGGCUCAGACAGCCAGGAUGUUGGCUUAGAAGCAGCCAUCAUUUAAAGAAAGCGUAAUAGCUCACUGGUCGAGUCGGCCCGCGCGGAAGAUGUAACGGGGCUAAACCAUGCAC
Molecule: ribosomal RNA, 533 nt
Filed under: Proteus mirabilis
Lineage: Bacteria; Pseudomonadati; Pseudomonadota; Gammaproteobacteria; Enterobacterales; Morganellaceae
Description: partial 23S ribosomal RNA
Rfam family: Bacterial large subunit ribosomal RNA
Source: RNAcentral